AUUGAACGCUGGCGGCAUGCUUUACACAUGCAAGUCGAGCGGCAGCGCGGGGGCAACCCUGGCGGCGAGCGGCGAACGGGUGAGUAAUGCAUCGGAACGUAUCCUCGAGUGGGGGAUAACCCAUCGAAAGUUGGGCUAAUACCGCAUGAGCUCUGAGGAGGAAAGCGGGGGACCUGCGAGGGCCUCGCGCUGGGGGAGCGGCCGGUGUCCGAUUAGCUAGUUGGUGGGGUAAAGGAUUACCAAGGCGACGCUCGGUAGCUGGUCGGAGAGGAUGAUCAGCCACACUGGGAGUGAGGCACGGCCCAGACUCCUACGGGGGGCAGCAGUAGGGAAGUUUGGAGAAAGGGGGGAACACUGAUCCAGCCAUGCCGCGUGAUUGAAGAAGGACUUCGGGUUGUAGAGCUCCUCCGGACGGAACGAAAUGGGCGGGACUAAUACCCCUGUCUGAUGACGGUACCGGAAGAAGAAGCACCGGCUAACUACGUG
Molecule: ribosomal RNA, 486 nt
Filed under: uncultured bacterium
Lineage: Bacteria
Description: partial 16S ribosomal RNA
Rfam family: Bacterial small subunit ribosomal RNA
Source: RNAcentral